AGAAUUUACCCAAUUAUUUUUCGCCUUAGCAAUUUGCGGAAAUACGCUAUAUAGUUGUACAGUUAUGACUGUGUAUUUUUGGGCUUAAGAAUUCAAAGGUUCGACUACUCACGUACACCAAUUCCAAAUAUAUUACCCAUUUCUGCACCGGAGACAACGAUGAUUCGGUUCGCUGUCAGUGCAUGUUUCCUCCUAGCGCUUUCGAUCCUGGCCGUCCCCGAUGGCCGGAAUUGAUCAAGCUGCCGUCUGAAGCUCGCAAAGUCUUUGGCCGCUUUGAGGACAAGAACGGUGGAGCCAAUGAGGAUGCCCUGGAGACCAAAUGGGCCGUCCUCCUAGCUGGUUCCACCGGUUACUGGAAUUACCGGCACGGCGGCACCAGGGGAUUAACCUUCUAAGACACAUAUUUAUUAAAUUCUUUAUGAUUGAAAUUAAAUGCUUUCUUUAUUUUUAUUUUUUUGGCUGAAUUUUGAUUUUAUAAUUCUGUUUAGAAUCACACAGUUUCUCAUUUAUGUUUAAAGGAUUCUCUUUUUGGUUUUUGUUGUGCUUUUUCUCGAAAGAGAGUGAAUUUGUCAUAGUUCAACUUUAUAAAAAUCUUGGUAUUUUCUGUAAAGUCCGUAGCUAAAAUAAUCUCCAUAAUUUGGGGUGGGGUGGGGUAUACACUACUUAGAUUUCGUUCCAUACUUAGGUCUAAGACGUCAAGAUUUCAAAUUUGGUUGUUAAGAAGUCUAUCAAGUACAAGAGGACCAAUUUAUAUGUUUAUCUGGAAUUCUGUUACAAGUGAAGAAGGGUGUGGUUUCCUUACACAGUUUACGCAUAUAUAUAGUAGUAAUCUAGAAUUGAAAAAAGAAGUUGGCAAUUUAUCUUACCAAAAGAAACUGAAAAUGAUCUUAUGUUAGGUAUAGUUAUCUUUGACAUGAUGUACGUAAUUGUUGGAUUAGGAAGUUCACUGGCUCACAGAAUUUUAUAAUUUAUUUUGUUUGCAAUCGUCAUUUCUUUUUGACAGCUGACGAAAAUGAGUAACAUAAUGCCAUUAUGCUAUUGCAUUUCUAAUCCAUUUACAUCUUUUUUGAAGAUAUAUGAUACAGCAUCCUCAUUUGUUUGGUCUUGCUUUGUUUUGUUUUAUGUGAGGAGGACAACUAUUUUAGCUUCAUCGCAUUCAUAGAAACAAAUGGCAUUCACAUUGGACCUAUGAGUCUUUUCUUUUUCUUUUCUCUUUUUUCAUUGAAGAUUAUAAUCGGCCACUUUACAUGCCUGCAAGGGUAUUUAAAAAUCAAAAUUCUUGGGGCAUGAAGAUUCUAAUGAUAUGAAAAUAUUUACACAUUUCUCUUCACUUCAAGUGUGAUGUGCAGAAAGAAGAGUAAACAGAAAUUAAAGAAAAAUUGAUGAGUUUCUAAGAAAUUUAAAAUUGAGUUCCUACUAACAAUCCCAUAAUCAUUAUGACCCUAUGCAAGGACUGGGAAAAGAUGAGCCGAGUUUUUUUAUAUUCAGCGUCAUUUAUGUCCUUAAUCUAUGUUGACAAACUUUAUUGCUAUUGUUUAAUCAUAUUUCAUGGUUUCUAUAAUAAUAUGCUUAGUCUUACACGCAACCUGUAGAGAUGAAAGGGGUUCUAUACGAUAUCUAGAUAUAAUCAUCUUUGUAAUUUUCAUUUCACAAUCAAUAUGAUAUAGGGAUUUUACUUUUGUACUAGGCGGAUUUAUGCCAUGCAUAUAAAAUCCUCAAGAGAGGUGGUCUCUAAGAUGAAAAUGUCAUCAUUUUCAUGUAUGAUGACAUUGCUCAAAGUGAAGAGAACCCUAGGCCUGGAGUCAUCAUUAAUAACCCUCAUGGAGAGGAUGUUUAUAAAGGAGUUCCUAAGACCAGGAUUAUGUCGACAACUUUUUCGCUGUGAUCCUUGGGAACAGAAUUGCACUCACAGGAGGUAGCAGAAAAGUUGUAGAUAGCGGUCCGAAUGAUCAUAUUUUCAUAUACUAUGGUGAUCAUGGUGGUCCUGGAGUGCUUGGUUUUUUACCUUGAAGCUUGUGAGUCUGGAAGUAUUUUUGAUUGUCUUCUUCCUGAAGCCUUGAAUAUAUAUGCAACCAAUGCAUCAAAUGCGGAAGAGAGCAGCUGGGAACCUACUGCCCACACAGGGGCGUAGGAAGAGGGGGGCAGCCCAGCCCAGCCCUUCCCCCCAAGGCCUAUUUAAUUUUAAUGUAAAAAACUAUAUAUUUCUUUGCAUUUUUAUUUUUAUUUUUUUUAUGUAGCAGCCCAGUAGAAUUUUUUUUUUUUUUGCCCCUCCUGGCUCCGCCCAGGCGACUAUCUGGGUCCUCCCCCUGAAUAUGAAACCAGCUUGGGUUACUUGCAUAGUGUUGCUUCGAUGGAGGACAGGUCAGAAGAACUGCUAAUCAAAAUUCUUUUUGUGGCUCCCAUGUCAUGCAAUAUGGUGACUUAAAGCUAAGUGCGGAGAAUCUUUUCCUGCACUCGUGUAUGUAUCCUGCUAAUGAUAACCAGAGUUUUGUGGACAACAAUGCAGUGCAGCUAUCUUCGAAAGCUGUUUACCAGCCUGAUGCUAAUCUUUUACAUUUCUGGCAUAAGUUCAUCAAGGCUCCUGAAGGCUCUCUUAGGAAAUUUGAAGCUCAAAAGGAGCUUGCUGAUGCUAUGACACACAGAACGCACAUUGACAGUAGUAUCAAACUGAUAGGCUCCAAUCCACCUCAUGCAUUCUAGAAGGACCUAGAAGAAGAAUAACCUGCAAAUUGGUGGAAAACUAGUUUGUUAGAGAGUAAAGAUGGGAGGGGAUAACAAUUACAAGUAGCUUAUAAAUAAAGAAGGGGGAGAGGAUGGGGAGGCAAAAAUAGUAAGUGAAAACCAUAUUGUGGAGAGUACAAUCCUCUCGAAAGGCUGAUUGUAUUUUCAUUCUGUUUUCUGUAAUUCAAUUUCCAUCAUUACGCAUCAUAAUUUAUGUUCC
This is an RNA transcript of Olea europaea var. sylvestris, 2941 nucleotides long. It is a transcript of the gene named vacuolar-processing enzyme-like, with no coding region annotated. The record is from RefSeq and is a predicted model, not a curated record. The transcript is spliced from 5 exons. Lineage: Eukaryota; Viridiplantae; Streptophyta; Magnoliopsida; Lamiales; Oleaceae.